GGCUGUCACUUACAGAUGGGCCCGCGGCGCAUUAGCUAGUUGGUGAGGUAACGGCUCACCAAGGCCACGAUGCGUAGCCGACCUGAGAGGGUGAUCGGCCACACUGGGACUGAGACACGGCCCAGACUCCUACGGGAGGCAGCAGUAGGGAAUCUUCCGCAAUGGACGAAAGUCUGACGGAGCAACGCCGCGUGAGCGAUGAAGGCCUUCGGGUCGUAAAGCUCUGUUGUUAGGGAAGAACAAGUAUCGGAGUAACUGCCGGUACCUUGACGGUACCUAACCAGAAAGCCACGGCUAACUACGUGCCAGCAGCCGCGGUAAUACGUAGGUGGCAAGCGUUGUCCGGAAUUAUUGGGCGUAAAGCGCGCGCAGGUGGUUCCUUAAGUCUGAUGUGAAAGCCCACGGCUCAACCGUGGAGGGUCAUUGGAAACUGGGGAACUUGAGUGCAGAAGAGGAAAGUGGAAUUCCACGUGUAGCGGUGAAAUGCGUAGAGAUGUGGAGGAACACCAGUGGCGAAGGCGAC
RNAcentral lists this ribosomal RNA (523 nucleotides) under Mesobacillus persicus. RNAcentral's name for it is "bacterial SSU rRNA". It matches the Rfam family "Bacterial small subunit ribosomal RNA", at positions 210 to 725 of the family's 1533-position model. Lineage: Bacteria; Bacillati; Bacillota; Bacilli; Caryophanales; Bacillaceae. The record is from RNAcentral.